This 201-nucleotide ribosomal RNA is filed under the name uncultured prokaryote. RNAcentral describes it as "partial 16S ribosomal RNA". It matches the Rfam family "Bacterial small subunit ribosomal RNA", at positions 524 to 724 of the family's 1533-position model. The record is from RNAcentral.
UACGAAGGGGGCGAGCAUUGUUCGGAAUUACUGGGCGUAAAGGGUGCGUAGGCGGAUCGAUCAGUCAGAUGUGAAAGCCCAGGGCUCAACCCUGGAAUUGCAUUUGAUACUGUCAGUCUGGAGUAUUGGAGAGGAGCGUGGAAUUCCCAGUGUAGAGGUGAAAUUCGUAGAUAUUGGGAGGAACACCAGUGGCGUAGGCGA